Molecule: ribosomal RNA, 413 nt
Filed under: Pediococcus acidilactici
Lineage: Bacteria; Bacillati; Bacillota; Bacilli; Lactobacillales; Lactobacillaceae
Description: bacterial SSU rRNA
Rfam family: Bacterial small subunit ribosomal RNA
Source: RNAcentral
GGACGCAAGUCUGAUGGAGCACGCCGCGUGAGUGAAGAAGGGUUUCGGCUCGUAAAGCUCUGUUGUUAAAGAAGAACGUGGGUGAGAGUAACUGUUCACCCAGUGACGGUAUUUAACCAGAAAGCCACGGCUAACUACGUGCCAGCAGCCGCGGUAAUACGUAGGUGGCAAGCGUUAUCCGGAUUUAUUGGGCGUAAAGCGAGCGCAGGCGGUCUUUUAAGUCUAAUGUGAAAGCCUUCGGCUCAACCGAAGAAGUGCAUUGGAAACUGGGAGACUUGAGUGCAGAAGAGGACAGUGGAACUCCAUGUGUAGCGGUGAAAUGCGUAGAUAUAUGGAAGAACACCAGUGGCGAAGGCGGCUGUCUGGUCUGUAACUGACGCUGAGGCUCGAAAGCAUGGGUAGCGAACAGGAUA